GAGAGUUGGGGCGGUAGUUGCAAGUUGCUCAAAGCAGUAAUUUGAGGAAAGUCCGGACUCCCAAAAGAUCAAACUUGCUGGGUAACUCCCAGUGCAAGCAAUUGCGAGGAUAGUGCCACAGAAAUAUACCGCCAACGGCAAAAAAUUGUACGGGUAAGGGUGCAAAGGUGUGGUAAGAGCGCACCAGCAGUAUCGAGAGGUACUGGCUAGGUAAACCCCGGUGGGGAGCAAGGUCGGAGGAACAAAGGUUGAUCUUUUUCCCGUUCCGCUAUUGGUGUACCGCAGGAGAUAUUUGGUAACAAAUAUCCUAGAUAGAUAACUACCCUUAGCUUGAAGCAAGGCUGAGAACAAAAUCCGGCUUACAACCAACUCUCUCAU
RNAcentral lists this RNase P RNA (378 nucleotides) under Cyanobacteria bacterium J083. RNAcentral describes it as "RNase P RNA component class A". It matches the Rfam family "Bacterial RNase P class A". Rfam says of the family: Ribonuclease P (RNase P) is a ubiquitous endoribonuclease, found in archaea, bacteria and eukarya as well as chloroplasts and mitochondria. Its best characterised activity is the generation of mature 5'-ends of tRNAs by cleaving the 5'-leader elements of precursor-tRNAs. Cellular RNase Ps are ribonucleoproteins. Lineage: Bacteria; Bacillati; Cyanobacteriota. The record is from RNAcentral.